AUACGAAGGAAAGAGAAAAAAAUGAAGGAAGAAAAAAAGAAAUAUGAAGAAAAGAGGAAAAUAUGGAAUAAAAAAUAAUGAAGGGCAUUGUGGAUAUUUCAUAUUUUUAUCCAUUUGAAAUAAUAAAGAGAAGUUGUUUUACCAAACAUUUAUCUGACCAGAUAAGUUGGAGCUCAAAAAAAUCACUCCACCAAAGAAGCCGCAGCCAGAGCCGUUACAGCCACGGCCACCGUCCUACUGAACAAGCUUGUUUGGAUCUCACAAAACAAAAAACCCAUUUUAACAAACUGUGUUUUAGUCCGGAUUUUAGGAAAAUCAGUUUCGGAUUAGAAGUUAGUUAGCAUGUGUUU
Molecule: long non-coding RNA, 350 nt
Filed under: Setaria viridis
Lineage: Eukaryota; Viridiplantae; Streptophyta; Magnoliopsida; Poales; Poaceae
Description: long non-coding RNA (SVIR_LNC005080)
Source: RNAcentral